AGUUGAAUUUCGGGAUUGACACAUCGGUCGUGCCUUAAGGGGUAUGAACUGGUGUAGUCAGUUUCUCACCUUCUGGAGAACCGCGAUGUCCUUAAUUGGGUGCCGCGAGGAACCAAGACCUUUACUUUGAAAAAUUAGAGUGUUCAAAGCAGGCCUUUGCUCGAAUACAUUAGCAUGGAAUAAUAGAAUAGGACGUGUGGUUCUAUUUUGUUGGUUUCUAGGACCGCCGUAAUGAUUAAUAGGGAUAUCGGGGGCAUCAGUAUUCAAUCGUCAGAGGUGAAAUUCUUGGAUUGAGUGAAGACUAACUACUGCGAAAGCAUUUGCCAAGGAUGUUUUCAUUAAUCAGUGAACGAAAGUUAGGGGAUCGAAGACGAUCAGAUACCGUCGUAGUCUUAACCAUAAACUAUGCCGACUAGGGAUCGGACGGUGUUAGUAUUUUGACCCGUUCGGCGCCUUACGGGAAAC
Molecule: ribosomal RNA, 465 nt
Filed under: uncultured Glomeromycotina
Lineage: Eukaryota; Fungi; Glomeromycota
Description: SSU rRNA
Rfam family: Eukaryotic small subunit ribosomal RNA
Source: RNAcentral